This 365-nucleotide ribosomal RNA is filed under the name uncultured prokaryote. Its description in RNAcentral is "partial 16S ribosomal RNA". The record is from RNAcentral.
CCCUAUGGGGUGCAGCAGGCUGGUGCGGUGAAAGGGCCGCAGAUCGUUGGCGCGUCCGCCCAGGGCCCCGUCCAGCAUCAGCGAGCUCAUCGCCAGCGGCUGGUAGUACCCCGCCACCGUCGAUGGCUUCAUAACCUCGCCGAAGAACACGCCCAGCGAGUUCCAGCUCGGGUUCUGGACCAGGCGGUUCUCCAGGAUGUACUGUCCGUCGUCGAAGUUUGUGGCCUGCGCGCCCAGCGCCGGCCAGUGGACGACGAUGACGGCGAUGCCAACGACGGCACACAGGAUGGCCAGCAAUGUUACCGACCGCUGCGCCGUGCCCAGCGCGCCGGAACCAGCGGCCGCAAUGAUCCUGUCCGGAGAGC